CUUGAAAUACCACCCUUUAAUGUUUGAUGUUCUAACGUUGGCCCCUAAUCGGGGUUGCGGACAGUGUCUGGUGGGUAGUUUGACUGGGGCGGUCUCCUCCUAAAGAGUAACGGAGGAGCACGAAGGUUGGCUAAUCCUGGUCGGACAUCAGGAGGUUAGUGCAAUGGCAUAAGCCAGCUUGACUGCGAGCGUGACGGCGCGAGCAGGUGCGAAAGCAGGUCAUAGUGAUCCGGUGGUUCUGAAUGGAAGGGCCAUCGCUCAACGGAUAAAAGGUACUCCGGGGAUAACAGGCUGAUACCGCCCAAGAGUUCAUAUCGACGGCGGUGUUUGGCACCUCGAUGUCGGCUCAUCACAUCCUGGGGCUGAAGUAGGUCCCAAGGGUAUGGCUGUUCGCCAUUUAAAGUGGUACGCGAGCUGGGUUUAGAACGUCGUGAGACAGUUCGGUCCCUAUCUGCCGUGGGCGCUGGAGAACUGAGGGGGGCUGCUCCUAGUACGAGAGGACCGGAGUGGACGCAUCACUGGUGUUCGGGUUGUCAUGCCAAUGGCACUGCCCGGUAGCUAAAUGCGGAAGAGAUAAGUGCUGAAAGCAUCUAAGCACGAAACUUGCCCCG
RNAcentral lists this ribosomal RNA (611 nucleotides) under Escherichia coli. RNAcentral describes it as "partial 23S ribosomal RNA". It matches the Rfam family "Bacterial large subunit ribosomal RNA", at positions 2191 to 2801 of the family's 2925-position model. Lineage: Bacteria; Pseudomonadati; Pseudomonadota; Gammaproteobacteria; Enterobacterales; Enterobacteriaceae. The record is from RNAcentral.